AGGGAUCAUUACCGAGAUUAGGGCCCCCCCGGGGGCUCGACCCUCCCACCCUUUGUGUACAUACCCUGUUGCUUCGGCGGACCCCGCGGGAGACGCGCUGCGGUUGCGCGCGGAACCCGGCCCGCCAGAGGCCCCCACCAAUUCCGAAUGUAUCGGUGAUGUCUGAGUGUCAAACAUGCGAAAUAAACAAAACUUUCAACAACGGAUCUCUUGGUUCCG
This 219-nucleotide unclassified non-coding RNA is filed under the name uncultured fungus. Its description in RNAcentral is "partial contains 18S rRNA, ITS1, 5.8S rRNA, ITS2 and 28S rRNA". Lineage: Eukaryota; Fungi. The record is from RNAcentral.